CCUACGGGGGGCUGCAGUGGGGAAUAUUGCACAAUGGGCGCAAGCCUGAUGCAGCCAUGCCGCGUGUGUGAAGAAGGCCUUCGGGUUGUAAAGCACUUUCAGCGGGGAGGAAGGCGGUGAGGUUAAUAACCUCAUCGAUUGACGUUACCCGCAGAAGAAGCACCGGCUAACUCCGUGCCAGCAGCCGCGGUAAUACGGAGGGUGCAAGCGUUAAUCGGAAUUACUGGGCGUAAAGCGCACGCAGGCGGUCUGUCAAGUCGGAUGUGAAAUCCCCGGGCUCAACCUGGGAACUGCAUUCGAAACUGGCAGGCUAGAGUCUUGUAGAGGGGGGUAGAAUUCCAGGUGUAGCGGUGAAAUGCGCAGAGAUCUGGAGGAAUACCGGUGGCGAAGGCGGCCCCCUGGACAAAGACUGACGCUCAGGUGCGAAAGCGUGGGGAGCAAACAGGAUUAGAUACCCCGGUAGUC
RNAcentral lists this ribosomal RNA (465 nucleotides) under uncultured Klebsiella sp. RNAcentral describes it as "bacterial SSU rRNA". It matches the Rfam family "Bacterial small subunit ribosomal RNA", at positions 338 to 795 of the family's 1533-position model. Lineage: Bacteria; Pseudomonadati; Pseudomonadota; Gammaproteobacteria; Enterobacterales; Enterobacteriaceae. The record is from RNAcentral.